Molecule: ribosomal RNA, 497 nt
Filed under: uncultured bacterium
Lineage: Bacteria
Description: partial 16S ribosomal RNA
Rfam family: Bacterial small subunit ribosomal RNA
Source: RNAcentral
GAUGAACGCUGGCGGCGUGCCUAAUACAUGCAAGUCGAGCGAACGGACGAGAAGCUUGCUUCUCUGAUGUUAGCGGCGGACGGGUGAGUAACACGUGGAUAACCUACCUAUAAGACUGGGAUAACUUCGGGAAACCGGAGCUAAUACCGGAUAAUAUUUUGAACCGCAUGGUUCAAAAGUGAAAGACGGUCUUGCUGUCACUUAUAGAUGGAUCCGCGCUGCAUUAGCUAGUUGGUAAGGUAACGGCUUACCAAGGCAACGAUGCAUAGCCGAACUGAGAGGGUGAUCGGCCACACUGGAGCUGAGACACGGUCCAGACUCCUACGGGAGGCCGCAGUAGGGAAUCUUCCGCAAUGGGCGAAAGCCUUACGGAGCAACGCCGCGUGAGUGAUGAAGGUCUUCGGAUCGUAAAACUCUGUUAUUAGGGAAGAACAUAUGUGUAAGUAACUGUGCACAUCUUGACGGUACCUAAUCAGAAAGCCACGGCUAACUACGUG